CACCAAUUCGCCAAUGAGAUGUCAACUUCGAUGGUGGAGAUCAGUAAUUACAAGGAAAAUAAAAAUAAUUACGAGAAGGAGGAAGAAUGAAAAGAUGACGAAACACUUCCGGGUUGAUGUUCCUGUGAACUUUGAACCGGAACUCGAACUCAGGUCCACGUGGUCGGGGAGGAACUGAUCGAAGAGGUAUUCACAUUUUGAACAAACGGAGAGGAGGCUUUGAAGACGACUCUUGCGUGGCACGUCAUUUCAUCUCGGACCUGCCAUGGGUGGGGGCAGUUGCACAGCAGAAGCAUUAGAUGUCACAAUGUGUGAAGAGAAAUUCAUGAAUUCAUUCAUUGGAAGCAAGCGCCACAGUGUGUCGCUGCGUCCACUUUCCAAUGGUACUCCAGGAGCCUCCAUCUGGCCAUCCCCCAGGCAAAUGCCUGGCUCAUCCCCAUCACUUUGGGAUUGGACAUUGCAGACAGACACCCACUAAAAGGGAAGCCUCAGAUUAACCCAAGGAGAUUCAACUGUUGUGGUGGUGCUGAGGUGUCAUCCACCACACACUACAGUGGCCGGAGUGCAAAUACUGCCACCAAACUCCAAAGCAAGGUAAGAAACUGCAGGACGACGUUCACAGAUGCAGUUGGCACCAGAUAUGGGCAGGUAUUAGUUCAUAAGGAGCUCCUCCACCCUUUUGGUCAUCGGUGAAAUGGACAACUUCUUGGAAUGGCUCCAAUCACAAGGUCUGAGAGCAGAAACAGCCCAAGCAGUGAUCAGUGUAAUUGGAAUUGAGAAUCGGAAGGUUCUUCGAGCUUGUACAGACUCUGAUUCAUUGCGAACAGAGCUCCUCUCUCUCACCAAAGAGAAAUUUAAAUUUGCAAUGUAUGCUGACUUCUGUAAAUUUGUGAAAUCUUUUUUGAAGCCGCAGGUUGUCCAGCUUGCAGGCUCUGCUCUGUUGGGAAGUCUAUUCGUCAACUUGGAGAAUGUUAUUCGAGAACUUUCCAGUUUCUCUCAAAAGUUUGGUGGAUUCCAAAACGUGCAGCUGGAAAAUGUUCCUGGUUUCCAGGGAAUCGGUUUCAGUGAUGUCUGCAACUUCCACAAUCAGGAUGAUGGAUUCACACCCAAGUCUGAUGACGUAUGUCCUGCAAAUGUGGAACCCAGACGACACAACGGUUCAUCUGUCUCAGAAACUUUAAGAUAUGCUUCUGUAAAGGACGAUUCAGUUGUUCAUUUUACAAAUGGCAGUCCUGUCUGUUCUGUAACAGGUGAGCAGAAACCUACAAAAUGAACAUUCAAUCUUUUGAAUUGAGG
Molecule: long non-coding RNA, 1296 nt
Filed under: Eptatretus burgeri (inshore hagfish)
Lineage: Eukaryota; Metazoa; Chordata; Myxini; Myxiniformes; Myxinidae
Description: lncRNA (ENSEBUG00000017295.1)
Source: RNAcentral